CGGCAGGCCUAACACAUGCAAGUCGAGGGGUAGAGUUCUUCGGAACUUGAGACCGGCGCACGGGUGCGUAACGCGUAUGCAAUCACCUUUUGCAGAGGGAUAGCCCAGAGAAAUUUGGAUUAAUACCUCAUAGUAUAGUACUUUGGCAUCAAGGAACUAUUAAAGUCACAACGGCAAAAGAUGAGCAUGCGUCCCAUUAGCUAGUUGGUAAGGUAACGGCUUACCAAGGCUACGAUGGGUAGGGGUCCUGAGAGGGAGAUCCCCCACACUGGUACUGAGACACGGACCAGACUCCUACGGGAGGCAGCAGUGAGGAAUAUUGGACAAUGGGCGCAAGCCUGAUCCAGCCAUGCCGCGUGCAGGAUGACGGUCCUAUGGAUUGUAAACUGCUUUUAUACAGGAAGAAACACUCCGACGUGUCGGAGCUUGACGGUACUGUAAGAAUAAGGAUCGGCUAACUCCGUG
RNAcentral lists this ribosomal RNA (465 nucleotides) under uncultured bacterium. RNAcentral describes it as "bacterial SSU rRNA". It matches the Rfam family "Bacterial small subunit ribosomal RNA", at positions 40 to 507 of the family's 1533-position model. The record is from RNAcentral.